RNAcentral lists this long non-coding RNA (256 nucleotides) under Salvia miltiorrhiza (redroot sage). Its description in RNAcentral is "long non-coding RNA (SMIL_LNC009007)". Lineage: Eukaryota; Viridiplantae; Streptophyta; Magnoliopsida; Lamiales; Lamiaceae. The record is from RNAcentral.
UACUAUGCGGCCUUUAUGGAAACAAAAAUUAGGGAAUUAAAAUCCCCUUAAGCUACCGCCUCCCUUAUCCCUACGGGCUUCGGCCCUAAAUAAAAAUCAAACCCAAAAUACUUAAAAAUAUGAGUUUUGGACUUAAUAAAAUUUGGAACAAUUAUCUUCAAGCCCAAUCUCUAAAAUUCCUCCAUCUUUUAUGCAAUUCUUCAUAAAUUCUCGAAUUUCCACCAUCUCUUCCAUCUCCAAGCUCCAUCUGCAAUUC